This 253-nucleotide ribosomal RNA is filed under the name uncultured bacterium. Its description in RNAcentral is "partial 16S ribosomal RNA". It matches the Rfam family "Bacterial small subunit ribosomal RNA", at positions 524 to 776 of the family's 1533-position model. The record is from RNAcentral.
UACGUAGGGUGCAAGCGUUGUCCGGAAUUAUUGGGCGUAAAGAGCUCGUAGGCGGUUUGUCGCGUCUGCUGUGAAAACUCGGGGCUUAACCCCGGGCCUGCAGUGGGUACGGGCAGACUAGAGUUCGGCAGGGGAGACUGGAAUUCCUGGUGUAGCGGUGAAAUGCGCAGAUAUCAGGAGGAACACCGGUGGCGAAGGCGACUCUUUGGCCUGUAACUGACGCUGAGGCGCGAAAGCGUGGGGAGCAAACAGG